AGUAACGCGUGGAUAACCUGCCUCACACUGGGGGUAACGAGUUAGAAAUGACUGCUAAUACCGCAUAAGCGCACAGUACCGCAUGGUACGGUGUGAAAAACUCCGGUGGUGUGAGAUGGAUCCGCGUCUGAUUAGCCAGUUGGCGGGGUAACGGCCCACCAAAGCGACGAUCAGCAGCCGACCUGAGAGGGUGACCGGCCACAUUGGGACUGAGACACGGCCCAA
Molecule: ribosomal RNA, 225 nt
Filed under: uncultured bacterium
Lineage: Bacteria
Description: partial 16S ribosomal RNA
Rfam family: Bacterial small subunit ribosomal RNA
Source: RNAcentral